UCAUCAGUUGAUACAAGUAUCACCUCCCCAGAGCCCAAAUCAGUUGAUACGAGUAGUAUCACCUCUCCCAUUCCUUCAGACUCCCAAGCACCUGCCCAUCCCACUCCAUAGCCCAGCCACCCACUCUCAUGUACCAUAUGACCAUCCCAGUAAGCAAGCCAACCACUAGAAUUUGACUGGCAUGCACCUGUGACUUACAUAAACCAGACCUCUA
Molecule: long non-coding RNA, 214 nt
Organism: Macrobrachium nipponense
Lineage: Eukaryota; Metazoa; Arthropoda; Malacostraca; Decapoda; Palaemonidae
Exons: 3
Source: RefSeq, a predicted model, not a curated record